Long non-coding RNA from Sinocyclocheilus anshuiensis, 204 nucleotides. RefSeq lists it as uncharacterized. The transcript has 3 exons. NCBI's taxonomy places the organism in Eukaryota, Metazoa, Chordata, Actinopteri, Cypriniformes, Cyprinidae. The record is from RefSeq and is a predicted model, not a curated record.
GAUCCUGCAGAAGUACGAUCGAUCGAGACUGCUGACAUUGCCGUGAAUUCGAAUACAAUUCGAAUAAAGCAAACAGGUUAAAGCACAAGGCUUAAGAAGGCUCUUUACCAACCGGUUGAUGGCAAAAUUCAACAUGAAGGGGAAGGGGAAAAAGCAGAAACUGCCUCUGGAGACGACUAAAACUUAUGAAGCAAUUAAUGGUAC